Molecule: ribosomal RNA, 460 nt
Filed under: uncultured bacterium
Lineage: Bacteria
Description: partial 16S ribosomal RNA
Rfam family: Bacterial small subunit ribosomal RNA
Source: RNAcentral
CCUACGGGAGGCAGCAGUGAGGAAUAUUGGUCAAUGGGCGCGAGCCUGAACCAGCCAAGUCGCGUGAAGGAUGACGGCCCUACGGGUUGUAAACUUCUUUUGUAGAGGAAUAAAGUGAGGCACGUGUGCCUUUUUGUAUGUACUUUAUGAAUAAGGCUCGGCUAACUCCGUGCCAGCAGCCGCGGUAAUCCGGAGGAUCCGAGCGUUAUCCGGAUUUAUUGGGUUUGAAAGGUGCGUAGAGGGGUGGAUAAGUCAGUGGUGAAAGGUUGCGGCUCAACCGUAAAAUUGCAAUUGAUACUGGUAGCCUUGAGUACAGUUGAGGUAGGCGGAAUGCGUGGUGUAGCGGUGAAAUGCUUAGAUAUCACGAAGAACACCGAUUGCGAAGGCAGCUUACUAAACUGUCACUGACAUUGAUGCUCGAAAGCGUGGGGAGCAAACAGGAUUAGAUACCCGUGUAGUC